GCUGGAAAUAUUUGAAGGUAUCUAGCCAGUCCACAAUGAAAGCUUCGUUGCACCCCAUGAGUCUUCUGGCAGAAAUGAUGGCACCUGUAUUCUUUGGUUUCCCUAAACAUCACACCCUGCCUGUUUAUACGAGGCUCUUCAAUUAAGUCUGCACCCAAAGAUUCAAUAAGAGAGGGGAUCCUGCCAGUCCAAAGUGAACUCCUGAUGGACAUUGAAGUACUCCUGCAGCGCUUGUAUCUUCGACACCAUGCGCAUUAGAAACUCCACUGAGUCCUUUCCUUCACCAAGGCAGGACCCAGUGACUCAUUACUGUUGAUAGGUCAGGGGCAGGUAAUAUUUUAUUUCAUGUUUAUUCAUUCCUCCAUGGAUUACCAGCCAUAUAUAUGGACACAUGCUGUAUUCUCAAGAUCUAUGCUGUUUUGUAGGAAUUGAGAAAAUUAUAUGUUUAGUCUGUUUUCAAAUGGUAUGUCAAAUUUUCUCAUUGUUUAUCAGUAAUAUUCACUACCUUGGUUAUAUAUGAGCAUCUUUAGAUUUUUCUAUAUUUAGCGGUUGCAAAUGUAAAAUGUACGGUAAACCAUUUAUGUUCCUCAUAUUGUACUGUAUUUUUAGCGGUAAAAUACCGGCAGCUGUGGUUGCCAGGAAUUUACCGUAAAAUGUAUCUGGUCAAAAUAAAAUGCUGUAAUUUGUUAUACAA
Oreochromis aureus is the source of this 694-nucleotide long non-coding RNA. RefSeq lists it as uncharacterized. The record is from RefSeq and is a predicted model, not a curated record. Lineage: Eukaryota; Metazoa; Chordata; Actinopteri; Cichliformes; Cichlidae. The transcript is spliced from 3 exons.